AACACAUGCAAGUCGAACGGUGAAAGAGAGCUUGCUCUCUGGAUCAGUGGCGAACGGGGAGUAACACGUGAGCAACCUGCCCCGGACUCUGGGAUAACAGCUGGAAACAGCUGCUAACAGCUGGAAACAGCUGCUAAUACCGGAUACGAGCUGCGAAGGCAUCUUCAGCAGCUGGAAAGAAUUUCGGUCCGGGAUGGGCUCGCGGCCUAUCAGCUUGUUGGUGAGGUAAUGGCUCACCAAGGCGUCGACGGGUAGCCGGCCUGAGAGGGUGACCGGCCACACUGGGACUGAGACACGGCCCAGACUCCUACGGGAGGCAGCAGUGGGGAAUAUUGCACAAUGGGCGAAAGCCUGAUGCAGCAACGCCGCGUGAGGGACGACGGCCUUCGGGUUGUAAACCUCUUUUAGCAAGGAAGAAGCGAAAGUGACGGUCCUUGCAAAAAAAGCGCCGGCUAACUACGUGCCAGCAGCCGCGGUAAUACGUAGGGCGCAAGCGUNAUCCGGAAUNUUUGGCCGUAAAAGCUCGUANGCGGUUUGUCNCGUCUGCUGUGAAANCCNANGCUAACCUCGGCCUGCAGUGGUACCGGCAAACUAAANUGCGNUNGGGANAUUGNACUCUGGUGUACGGUGNAUGCCAANUUNAGGAAAACCCAUGGNANGCNAUNUNGGCCUANCUACCUAAGACCAAAGGUGGGANCAANNGCUAANUCCNGGUNUCCCCCCNAACUUGGAACAUUNGGGGCC
RNAcentral lists this ribosomal RNA (744 nucleotides) under bacterium OTU31. RNAcentral describes it as "partial 16S ribosomal RNA". It matches the Rfam family "Bacterial small subunit ribosomal RNA", at positions 50 to 738 of the family's 1533-position model. The record is from RNAcentral.